Molecule: long non-coding RNA, 2887 nt
Filed under: Gossypium barbadense (sea-island cotton)
Lineage: Eukaryota; Viridiplantae; Streptophyta; Magnoliopsida; Malvales; Malvaceae
Description: long non-coding RNA (GBAR_LNC019585)
Source: RNAcentral
UAUUUAUAAUUUAGUAGCAUAAAAGUAAUAAUAGUUUGUAUUUUUAAUAAAAACCAAUGUUCAUGCAUAAUUAAUUAAUAUUCAUAUUUCAAAAUCCUAAAAUCAAAUUAAAUGUCAUGCAGGCUAUAAAAUAAAACCAAAUCUUAAGUUCCAUGUAACAAUUCAAAAUAAAAUAUUAUAUUCCUCAAAUAAUAAAACAAAUAACGAGUUGAGACUCUCCGGAUGCUGUGUUCGCGUCCUAACCUGGUGGGUUAUCUGUAAGGAUGAAAAUUUAAGGGGGAGUGAGCUAUAACACUCAGUGGGAGUUCUAUCACAAGAAAAUCAGUGCAAAUUAAUAAACUAAGUAUACAUAAUAACAAUUUUUAGUACGGUAAUAAUCAUAUGAUAUAAUAGUAUUUUUGGCAGUUCAAUUCUCAUACUUAUGCGUGUCGAUGCAAUGCUAUACAAGUUAAGUUUAUCAAUAAAGAUAGGUCCUACCCCACCGCUACACUCUACAGUAAGAGUUCCCUAGAAAUCUUAUAUCUCGGACACUCUAGUUUGUGGAUGAACCACAAGAGUUGCAGGUUAAUAUGCUACCAAUAGUUGUGAAUACACAAUGGGUUUGCAGAUAGAAGUUGCUAGUAAAAGAUGUGGAUAAACCACUAGUAUUUGUAGGUUAAUACGCUGCCAAUGGUUGUGAAUACACGGGUUUGCAGAUAAAAACUAUCAUUAAUUUGUGGAUAAACCACCAGUAUUUUGCAGUUAAAAUUGCCAGUACUUCCUCCUUAAAAAACAUCCUGCCCCAUGCAAUGCAGUAUGACAUGUAAGCAUCAAUACAGUACAGAAACAGUAGACAUGUUUAGCAUGUAUCUAGAUCAACAAUAGUAGUAGACAUGAUUGUCCUGGAUUUGGUAUAUCAAUAUAGUAAGCAUGGCUAUUCACGCAAUUAAUAAUUCAGUGAUACUAGUAAAAAUAACAAUUAAUCAGUAAUUUAGUCAUAGAAGACAUGUAUUCGUCACAUAUCAUGCACAUAUAGUAAUAAUCUAAUAAAUCAAAUAAUUGAUUCCAUAUUAUUCAUAAUAUCAGAGACUUAGUUAAAAGAGAUAAAGUACUAAAAACAAUUCAAUGAUCAUGCAAGGACUAAAUUGAAAAUUUUACAAAAAUUUUAGGCAAAAUUGUAAAAUAGGGGCACAUGGCCUUGUGGAGGGGUUACACGGUCAUAUGACUUGUAACAGCCCGUUUUUCAGUGGUGUCAGAAACAGUAGUUUCGGGGCCACCAAAUCUGACGAGUAAGUUCGUAAAUAUUAUUAUUUAAUAUUUAUGAGUCAAAUGUGAUUUUUAAAAAAAAUUUUUUACUUGAUAAUUUAUAUUAUAUAAGUGAUUUAUUAAGUUCAAGUGGUUUUAAAAGAUGAGGUAUCGAGACCUUAUUUUUAUAAACUGAGCCGUAAAUAUUUUUAUAAAUAUUUACGGAGUGUUAUUAAGGUGGUAUUAAAGUUUCGUUAAGAAAUUUUAACGUUUCGAUAAUUAAUUAAAAAUGACCAAAUUUAAAAAAAAAGUGCAUUCCCGGUGCUCUGUUCCCAUCAAUCAGACUCGUAAAUAUUUUUAAUAAAUAUUUACGAAGCUAGUUGUGUAGUUAAUUAGGUUUUGGUUAAGUGAAUUUACUUGAAUUAAAAGUAAUUAAGUAUAAGUACUAAAUUACAUAUAGGGUAAAAGUUGAAUUAUAGAUUAAAGAAAAAUUAAAGGGACUAAAGAAGUAAUUAUGCCAUUGUUCUUUAAUGAGGCGGCAUAAGAUAAUAUGUUUUAUAAAUUUAAUAUAUGUUAUAAUAAAAUAUGUUUACUUAAUUAAUAAGUAUAUAUUAUAUUAUAAUAAAACAAAUAAAAAAAGAAAGAAAGAAAAGAAAGCCAAAGCCAAACGAAAAUAGAAAGGAAAGAAAAAAAAAAAAGAAAGAGUGAAAGAAAGACGCAAGGCUAGGGACUUUUUGGGUUUAAAGUUCAAUUGGUUAGUUAAUUUAGUUCAUUUUUCUUGUAAUUUUUAUGGUUUUGGAAUCCCGGUAUUAAAUACUACUCGAUCCAUACCAAAAUUUUAGAAAUUAUUGAUGUAAUAGCCCAUUUUUGCCCGGCCCAUUCAAAAUUAAACCAACCCAAAAUCAUAACAUUGCCCAAAUACCCUUGGCCUAAUACACUAGGCCCUAAACCUAAGCCCCUUACACCAAGAAAACAAACAGCAGAAACACUAACAGUCAGCAGCAGAUCGACGCCACCAUUGUCCCACGUCGCAGUAACCUCCAGUGCGUGCACGCCCCACGUUCGGCAGCCUCCCAAACUGUCCCACAUCUUCGCUGGCACGUCCACUCGCACAACGCUCACACAUCUGCAAGCCACAUACAACACUAAUAGGAUAUACACACAGCAAAACAGUUGUAAAAAGAUUUAGGGAGGGCUAUAUAAAGGCCAAUGAUUUUCUGUAACUGGGAGAAAAAUUUUGUAUUAAAAAGAGAAAAAUUUUGUAUUGGAAAAAUACUGAAAUACAAACAAAGAAUCAAAAACAAUUUUUGAAGGUAAUUUUCUUUGUGUUUUAUUUUUUUUUCUUUGCUUCCCUGUUUUUGGUGCAAAAGAAAAAGCAAAAAGAAAAGGGCGAAACUUACCUGAAUCGGAGUCGGCGGCGAAGCUUGAACGACGGUGGCGUGGCGGUAGUUAGGGCUUUAAAGAAGGCCUAACAGAUUCCUCUUUCUUCCCUCUGUUGUUUUAAAACAAAAAAGAAAAAAAGGAAGAUGAAGCAAUUUUGCGCCUAUUGCUGCUGCAGAGUAGGCUUUUAAUUGGAGAUGAAAAGGGUUUUAAACACUGAUGGGUUAUUUGCGUUUUAAUCCUUCAUUUUAUCCCAUCAGUUCAAAAUCAUUAUGGUUUGUUU